AGAACGAACGCUGGCGGCAGGCUUAACACAUGCAAGUCGAGCGCCCCGCAAGGGGAGCGGCAGACGGGUGAGUAACACGUGGGAACGUACCCUUUACUACGGAAUAACGCAUGGAAACGUGUGCUAAUACCGUAUGUGCCCUUUGGGGGAAAGAUUUAUCGGUAAAGGAUCGGCCCGCGUUGGAUUAGCUAGUUGGUGGGGUAAAGGCCUACCAAGGCGACGAUCCAUAGCUGGUCUGAGAGGAUGAUCAGCCACAUUGGGACUGAGACACGGCCCAAACUCCUACGGGAGGCAGCAGUGGGGAAUAUUGGACAAUGGGCGCAAGCCUGAUCCAGCAAUGCCGCGUGAGUGAAGAAGGCCUUCGGGUUGUAAAGCUCUUUUACCCGGGAAGAUAGUGACUGUACCGGGAGAAUAAGCUCCGGCUAACUCCGUGCCAGCAGCCGC
This 444-nucleotide ribosomal RNA is filed under the name uncultured bacterium. RNAcentral's name for it is "SSU rRNA". It matches the Rfam family "Bacterial small subunit ribosomal RNA", at positions 26 to 518 of the family's 1533-position model. The record is from RNAcentral.